Molecule: ribosomal RNA, 206 nt
Filed under: uncultured bacterium
Lineage: Bacteria
Description: partial 16S ribosomal RNA
Rfam family: Bacterial small subunit ribosomal RNA
Source: RNAcentral
UGCGUAGGCGUCUAAGAAAGUUAUUUGUUAAAUCCUCCGGCUUAACCGGAGUAAUGCAGGUAAACUACUUGGAUAGAGUUUAAGAGAGGAAAAUGGAAUUCCUGGUGUAGCGGUGACAUGCGUAGAUAUCAGGAGGAACAUCUAUGGCGAAGGCAGUUUUCUGGCUUAAAACUGACGCUGAGGCACGAAAGCGUGGGGAGCAAACA